GACCUAGUGGCAAAAGGAAUCACACCUGCUCACAGUGUGAAGGAAUCUGAUUCAAGGCAGGAGAUCCUGGUUCGAAUCCAGGCUAGGUCU
Non-coding RNA from Mycena vulgaris, 90 nucleotides. NCBI's taxonomy places the organism in Eukaryota, Fungi, Basidiomycota, Agaricomycetes, Agaricales, Mycenaceae. The record is from the annotation of a GenBank genome assembly.